AUGGUUUUAUUGUGGUAAAAGUGUAGUAACCAUGGUUUUUUUGGUGUAUUGAUUACUAUCAGCAAAACCAUGGUUUUACUACACUAACUAUGGUUUAACUAUGGUUUUUGAAAACCAUGAUUGUCAAAACCAUGGUUAUUUUGUAGUUACUAUGGUUUUACUACAGUAACCAUGGUUUUUUGGUUUUAACUGUAGUAAAACCAUGGUUAAUUUUCGUAAGGGCUGACCAAUUCCCUAACCUUAACCACUCGAGGUGAAAAGUCUAAUAAAUCGUGAGCCAUGCAAUGAGCUGCUUCGUACAGUACAGUAGGUGGCGGUAUGCACCUUAACAGUUGGUUUGCAACCCGCCAGUAAACCCACAAAAGAAGAAGAAGCGCUGCUUCGUACUAGGGCGGUCUUGGCGCUACUGGUCACGUCUCCUGAGCGUGCAACGUUCAGCUUCUUCUUCUUUUUUCGGCGGUUACUGGCUCAAGUUUGGAAGAAACAGCAAAGCUCUCUGUAAAGGAUAACGACUAACGUAUUGGAGUGUCAAAAUGACCAGACGAAAACCUGGAAAACGAUGGAGAAGGACUGGUAAUGAAGAAGACCCAAAUAAACGACCAAGACGGGCUGCACACUUGUCAUCCCUCCCUGCAGCCGCCAGUGUUCAUGUGGAGACUGAUCAGCAAUAUUUAGGAGGUAGCAGCAGUGGAACACAGCAGGGGGGG
Paramisgurnus dabryanus is the source of this 707-nucleotide long non-coding RNA. RefSeq lists it as uncharacterized. The record is from RefSeq and is a predicted model, not a curated record. NCBI's taxonomy places the organism in Eukaryota, Metazoa, Chordata, Actinopteri, Cypriniformes, Cobitidae.